UAAGCUAGGAUCGUAAAGAAAUCAGCUGGGCCAGCUCGCCCAAAGCUCAAGCUAAGCUGGAAGGAGUGACGGUUACUCAGGUCGAGUUACAGUCCAGCUCGGGCAGCUGGACGAGUGACGGUUGAGCUCGAGGUAGCUGGACGAGUGACGGUUGAGCUCGAGGUAGCUGGACGAGUGACGGACUAGCUGGGCGGUUAUGGGCGAAGAGAUACAACUCCUCAGAAAGGUGCAACUCUUCGGAAGGGCGCAACUCUUCGGAAAGGUGCAACUUUUCGGAAAGGUGCAAGGAACGGAUGUGUUGAUUCGGGAAGCAUCCAUUCGCCCCCUAUAUAACGAAGGGCGCCCAGGACCAUUCCACUCACCACAACACACCGAAAACACAAGAAACUCAUCAUUAAAACUCUCUCCCUCUUGGGAGAAUAAAUAGUCUUAGGAUUCGGUAGCCGGGCUGUGGCCGGCAAUAAAGAAGGAGGGUCGGAUCGACCAAAGGAAGGUGAGGGCUCCUAGACUUUGAGUCUAAGGGUUCUAGGAUGUGAGUUAGUAGUCGGAUCCUUGAAAGGAUUGACUAGUGGGCUGGGUAGUAUCCGAGUCAUGUGCAUCCUACACAAGACUCGGUCCGGGUAGGGAUCGGCUGAGGCGGGGACGCGACUCGGCGGAGGACCGGCGGGUCUUAACUGACCUGCCGAGAAUCGGCCGGACUGAUGCGCGAUCUUCCCCUCUCUGAAUCCUCUCCACGGAUCCGAGUAGUGUAUGGCAUAUAGAGCAUUGCAUGGACUUGCAUAUGACUAAGUAAAUGAGAUUACUUAUGGCUCAAUGACUUUCAGGAACGAAUGGUGAUCGUGGGAAGGACUUGGCUUAGGCGCGAGAGACUCAAGACCGGGAUGAUGGGUGGUGAUAGUUCGGAUAGUUUAGGGAUCGAUUAUAUGACUUGUAAUAGCUUAUAUGCAAACUCAUAGGUUGUAUCGAAUCCUUUGCUUAAUCAAUAAAGUAUCCAGUUGUUUGUUUACUCUAUUCGUCUCAUAUAUUGAAUCACGGAAUCAUAUGGAACGGAUUAGACUAGGAAAGAACCUCAUAAACGGUUAGGGCUGAGUCACUUAGUGGCUUGGGUCGAGAGAACUCGUCCGGACUUAGGCAGU
Molecule: small RNA, 1136 nt
Filed under: Arabidopsis thaliana (thale cress)
Lineage: Eukaryota; Viridiplantae; Streptophyta; Magnoliopsida; Brassicales; Brassicaceae
Description: ATSL169140
Source: RNAcentral